This 301-nucleotide ribosomal RNA is filed under the name uncultured bacterium. RNAcentral describes it as "partial 16S ribosomal RNA". It matches the Rfam family "Bacterial small subunit ribosomal RNA", at positions 509 to 807 of the family's 1533-position model. The record is from RNAcentral.
CAGCCGCCGCGGGAAUACGUAGGUGGCAAGCGUUGUCCGGAAUUAUUGGGCGUAAAGGGCUCGCAGGCGGUUUCUUAAGUCUGAUGUGAAAGCCCCCGGCUCAACCGGGGAGGGUCAUUGGAAACUGGGAAACUUGAGUGCAGAAGAGGAGAGCGGAAUUCCACGUGUAGCGGUGAAAUGCGUAGAGAUGUGGAGGAACACCAGUGGCGAAGGCGACUCUCUGGUCUGUAACUGACGCUGAGGAGCGAAAGCGUGGGGAGCGAACAGGAUUAGAUACCCCUGUAGUCCCUGUCUCUUAUAC